CUGUUGUCAAUAUUAGCCCAAACAUUGGUAUUCUAAUAGUCUGGAUGAUGAAGGGUCUGGGAGCAUAUGUCAUGUACAAGUUUGCCAUACUUGCAUGAUAAUAUUCGAUAAUCUGUUGGCACUUAUUGGAGAGAAGCAAGGUGCAGAUGCCAAAGCAGCCUUUAAGAAAGUGACAGAUCUAAUAUAUGAAGAAAUA
This is a long non-coding RNA of Protopterus annectens (West African lungfish), 196 nucleotides long. RefSeq lists it as uncharacterized. NCBI's taxonomy places the organism in Eukaryota, Metazoa, Chordata, Ceratodontiformes, Protopteridae. The record is from RefSeq and is a predicted model, not a curated record. The transcript has 2 exons.